Non-coding RNA from Nicotiana tabacum (common tobacco), 1026 nucleotides. NCBI's taxonomy places the organism in Eukaryota, Viridiplantae, Streptophyta, Magnoliopsida, Solanales, Solanaceae. The record is from RefSeq and is a predicted model, not a curated record.
CCCUAAUUUCCCUUUCUUGUCUCCUUUAUCUCAUUCCCAUCACCCCUAUCAGUCCUAAAAACUGGCACAAAUUUGUGCAAGAUCACAAAUCCGACCUCAAAUCAUCAUUUUUGUCCCUACUGAACCGUGAAUCCCACCUGAACUUUCCCCUUUCGUUACCCUAAUUUGAAUCUCUAACCCAGAAGCCCUAGACCUAAAGGUGAAGCCUGGGAAUUCAUAUAUCCUUCCUUUGUUUCGUCGAAUUAGAGCAUGCCUGGUUAUUAUCUUCAGCUUCAGCUUCAUUAUUCAUUGUCCAGAGGUCAAACGCAGCGACCUCUAGACAUUAAGGCAUGACUGAUGGACCAAAAGCUUUAAUUGUCGACCUCCUCGUGCUCAGGACUUCUGAGUUCUUUAAACUUAAGCCCAAGCUCCAGCCUUGGUUGCUUUUCCUGGAGUCUGCUACUCGUGUGAAAAUCUUCAGGGCCUGACUAUCCAUUUGCACAAUAUUAAGAGUCCAGCCCUUUCCUCCCUCUCACAUUUUUAAAUGGAGACGUAGGCCAACCAAGUCUUACAGGUUCAAAACGAUAACCAAUUAUGUUUUGGAAUAUCAUCAUACGGGUCACGUAAAACACAACCAUUGCUCUAAAAAAUAAUAAAAGCAACCACGCACAACCAUUCUUACAAAUAAGCUUGAAACAUAUGGCAUUUCAACAAGAUGAGGUGGUUCCACAACAUGCGGCAUCCAUCAGCGAUAGCGGUACACCCUCUUCUCAGCUGACUUGGUGAGCCCGAUUUCAUAUCGGGAUCUUGAACCUUUUGCUCCUUAUGUACAGGGUUUUGAGAUAUAGCCGGAGCUUUGUUAACGACACCAUCAUAUUACUCUUUUGUAUCCAUUAGAGGCUCCGUAGACAUAGUGUGGGUUUGUAUCUUGGAUUGCAUAAAUCAACUUGAAACACUUGUUCCACUUCUAAAGCUACGAAUGUGUAAAAUAUUUUGGGAAAUCAUGAAUGAAGUUCUAAUGGUAAUGAAAUUGGUGUUGUUCAUGUA